CCCUGCAGUGGAAAGCACGCCGGAAUGCAAGUCCGGAGACACACCCAUUUGGUGUCGGGGCUU
RNAcentral lists this transfer RNA (63 nucleotides) under Pachydactylus etultra (Sossus gecko). RNAcentral describes it as "tRNA-Cys". Lineage: Eukaryota; Metazoa; Chordata; Lepidosauria; Squamata; Gekkonidae. The record is from RNAcentral.